Molecule: transfer RNA, 72 nt
Filed under: Pedobacter sp. PACM 27299
Lineage: Bacteria; Pseudomonadati; Bacteroidota; Sphingobacteriia; Sphingobacteriales; Sphingobacteriaceae
Also listed under: 3 other names
Rfam family: tRNA
About the family: Transfer RNA (tRNA) molecules are approximately 80 nucleotides in length. Their secondary structure includes four short double-helical elements and three loops (D, anti-codon, and T loops). Further hydrogen bonds mediate the characteristic L-shaped molecular structure. tRNAs have two regions of fundamental functional importance: the anti-codon, which is responsible for specific mRNA codon recognition, and the 3' end, to which the tRNAs corresponding amino acid is attached (by aminoacyl-tRNA synthetases). tRNAs cope with the degeneracy of the genetic code in two manners: having more than one tRNA (with a specific anti-codon) for a particular amino acid; and 'wobble' base-pairing, i.e. permitting non-standard base-pairing at the 3rd anti-codon position.
Source: Rfam by way of RNAcentral
GUUUCCGUAGUUCAAUGGAUAGAAUUGUUGAUUCCGGUUCAACAGAUAUGGGUUCGAAUCCCUUCGGGAACA